AGCAGACAAUCUCUAACCCUGCUCCUCUCUAUACAAUACCUGCCCUGCAAUCAAAAAUAUCAAACUGGGGAGUGAGUAUAUGAAUACUCAGUGAGUGGAGUAGAGAGUACUAUGCACAUGAGACAGAAUAUAAUCAUGGCUCGAGAUAAAAUCUCAAGAUCAAUAACAACAUGAACAUAAACUCAACAUAGAGAAUAUAGAGUAAAUCAUCGAUAUCACCACAAUCAAUAUCAACUCAUCUGAAGCAUAUAUGGAAUAAUCAAGUAAACAUAUAUGCUACUCAUGAAUAUGCUCAACAGAUCAUAAUGCUGGAACAUACAAAUCAGGUGUCAAUAUGCUGAAAUCAUCACUAGACAGCUGUCGGGAGGUGGGUUUUACGCCCCAGGCGAACCAGCAACAACUUCCUACUAUCACAUGCAUAUGCAGGAUAAGACACCAUAUCGAUAAUGUAAAUGCUAGACAGCUGUCGGAAGGUGGGUUUUACACCCCAGGCGAACCAGCAACAACUCCCUACUGUCACAUGCAUAUG
RNAcentral lists this long non-coding RNA (529 nucleotides) under Phoenix dactylifera (date palm). RNAcentral's name for it is "long non-coding RNA (PDAC_LNC011534)". Lineage: Eukaryota; Viridiplantae; Streptophyta; Magnoliopsida; Arecales; Arecaceae. The record is from RNAcentral.